This 280-nucleotide ribosomal RNA is filed under the name Acinetobacter baumannii. Its description in RNAcentral is "partial 16S rRNA". It matches the Rfam family "Bacterial small subunit ribosomal RNA", at positions 21 to 303 of the family's 1533-position model. The record is from RNAcentral. Lineage: Bacteria; Pseudomonadati; Pseudomonadota; Gammaproteobacteria; Moraxellales; Moraxellaceae.
GGCUCAGAUUGAACGCUGGCGGCAGGCUUAACACAUGCAAGUCGAGCGGGGGAAGGUAGCUUGCUACCGGACCUAGCGGCGGACGGGUGAGUAAUGCUUAGGAAUCUGCCUAUUAGUGGGGGACAACAUCUCGAAAGGGAUGCUAAUACCGCAUACGUCCUACGGGAGAAAGCAGGGGAUCUUCGGACCUUGCGCUAAUAGAUGAGCCUAAGUCGGAUUAGCUAGUUGGUGGGGUAAAGGCCUACCAAGGCGACGAUCUGUAGCGGGUCUGAGAGGAUGA